AUUGAACGCUGGCGGCAGGCCUAACACAUGCAAUUCGAGAGAGCGGCGGACGGGUGAGUAAUGUCUGGGAAACUGCCUGAUGUAGGGGGAUAACUACUUGAACCGUUAGCUAAUACCGCAUACCAUCAGAUGUGCCCAGGUGGGAUUAGCUAGUAGGUGGGGUAACGUCUCACCUAGGCGACGAUCCCUAGCUGGUCUGAGAGGAUGACCAGCCAAACUGGAACUGAGACACGGUCCAGACUCCUACGGGAGGAAGCAGUGGGGAAUAUUGCACAAUGGGCGCAAGCCUGAUGCAGCCAUGCCGCGUGUAUGAAGAAGGCCUUCGGGUUGUAAAGUACUUUCAGCGGGGAGGAGUUACCCGCAGAAGAAGCACCGGCUAACUCCGUGCCAGCAGCCGCGGUAAGUU
Molecule: ribosomal RNA, 406 nt
Filed under: uncultured bacterium
Lineage: Bacteria
Description: partial 16S ribosomal RNA
Rfam family: Bacterial small subunit ribosomal RNA
Source: RNAcentral